Molecule: non-coding RNA, 52 nt
Submitted as: unclassified sequences
Source: Rfam
GGACCGCCCAUCGGGGGGCUAAGGCCAUACGGACAGCCGGGUCCACUGCCGA